Molecule: long non-coding RNA, 435 nt
Organism: Oncorhynchus keta (chum salmon)
Lineage: Eukaryota; Metazoa; Chordata; Actinopteri; Salmoniformes; Salmonidae
Exons: 3
Source: RefSeq, a predicted model, not a curated record
GAAGUAGGAGAUAUAGAAGGACCAUGGGAUAAAAGGUAAAUGAGAUUAGCAGUAAAGAAGAGCAGCCAAAGAAACAGAUCUGUUGAAGCAUUAAUUGGAAAGGAUGGGAGGGUUGGAGGAGGAGCACAGCUGGAUGACUACAUUAGAUUGUGGGGUAUGAGGUCUGUUGAAGCAUCAAUAGGAAAGGAUGAAAGGGAGGGAGGCAGGAAGAGGAAAACACAGAAGAGCAGAUGAGGAGCACUAUGUUCUGCUUCCAUGUGGAUUGACAGCAUUGCUUUCAUGAGCUGCUGGAGGACAUCAUGGAGGAAGAGGGUCUAUGAUAGGCAGUUUGCCAUGGCCCUAAAUGGGCCUUUGAAUGUUAAUUCUUCCUGAUUCAUAUCAUACAACUUUACAAUAAAAAUGAAAUGCAAGCAUCAGCCUUUUCUGUUUGAGUGU